UCUCACAUUUCUAUGCUUUUGC
This 22-nucleotide non-coding RNA is filed under the name Arabidopsis thaliana (thale cress). Lineage: Eukaryota; Viridiplantae; Streptophyta; Magnoliopsida; Brassicales; Brassicaceae. The record is from RNAcentral.